GACGAACGCUGGCGGCGUGCCUAAUACAUGCAAGUCGAACGAGAGCGCCCGGUGCUUGCACUGGUCAAUCUAGUGGCGAACGGGUGAGUAACACGUGGGUAACCUGCCCAUCAGAGGGGGAUAACAUCCGGAAACGGAUGCUAAAACCGCGUAGGUCUUCGAACCGCAUGGUUUGAAGAGGAAAAGAGGCGCAAGCUUCUGCUGAUGGAUGGACCCGCGGUGCAUUAGCUAGUUGGUGAGGUAACGGCUCACCAAGGCCGUGAUGCAUAGCCGACCUGAGAGGGUGAUCGGCCACAUUGGGACUGAGACACGGCCCAAACUCCUACGGGAGGCAGCAGUAGGGAAUCUUCCGCAAUGGACGCAAGUCUGACGGAGCAACGCCGCGUGAGUGAAGAAGGUUUUCGGAUCGUAAAACUCUGUUGUUAGAGAAGAACAAGUGCUAGAGUAACUGUUAGCGCCUUGACGGUAUCUAACCAGAAAGCCACGGCUAACUACGUG
This 498-nucleotide ribosomal RNA is filed under the name uncultured bacterium. Its description in RNAcentral is "partial 16S ribosomal RNA". It matches the Rfam family "Bacterial small subunit ribosomal RNA", at positions 28 to 507 of the family's 1533-position model. The record is from RNAcentral.